GACGAACGCUGGCGGCGUGCCUAACACAUGCAAGUCGAGCGGAGACAUGGAGGAGCUUGCUCCGAGAUGUUUUAGCGGCGGACGGGUGAGUAACGCGUGAGCAACCUUUCUCUCAGUGGGGAAGUAACACACCGAAAGGUGUACUAAUACCGCAUGAGACCACAGUACCGCAUGGUACAGAGGUCAAAGAUUUAUCGCUGAGAGGUGGGCUCGCGUCCGAUUAGAUAGUUGGUGAGGUAACGGCUCACCAAGUCGACGAUCGGUAGCCGACCUGAGAGGGUGAUCGGCCACAUUGGGACUGAGACACGGCCCAA
Molecule: ribosomal RNA, 314 nt
Filed under: uncultured bacterium
Lineage: Bacteria
Description: bacterial SSU rRNA
Rfam family: Bacterial small subunit ribosomal RNA
Source: RNAcentral